AACUAAAAAUUCUCACACACACCGUCACAUAGUUCGGGUGCUCUUAAUCUGCGAUGGGAAGUCCGGAAAAAGAGUUGGAUUAUGGGGUAUGUGGAGGCUUAAC
Molecule: small RNA, 103 nt
Filed under: marine eukaryotic metagenome
Description: t44 RNA
Rfam family: t44 RNA
About the family: This family consists of a number of bacterial RNA genes of between 135 and 170 bases in length. The t44 gene is found between the map and rpsB genes in all species in the full alignment apart from Shigella flexneri. The function of this RNA is unknown.
Source: RNAcentral